This is a long non-coding RNA of Penaeus monodon (black tiger shrimp), 163 nucleotides long. RefSeq lists it as uncharacterized. The record is from RefSeq and is a predicted model, not a curated record. NCBI's taxonomy places the organism in Eukaryota, Metazoa, Arthropoda, Malacostraca, Decapoda, Penaeidae. The transcript has 2 exons.
UGUGUGUGUGUGUGUGUGUGUGUGUGUGUGUGUGUGUGUGUGUGUGUGUGUGUGUGUGUGUGUGUGUGUGUGUGUGUGUGUGUGUGUGUGUGUGUGUGUGUGUGUGUGUGUGUGUGUGUGUGUGCUGCGUCUAUGGAAAUACGAAGUCAAUACUUGGUGAUGA